RNAcentral lists this long non-coding RNA (807 nucleotides) under Solanum tuberosum (potato). RNAcentral describes it as "long non-coding RNA (STUB_LNC000804)". The record is from RNAcentral. Lineage: Eukaryota; Viridiplantae; Streptophyta; Magnoliopsida; Solanales; Solanaceae.
UAAGCUGUCAAGGGCCAUGCCAUGAUCCUCUAUCUGACACGACAACUUGGGACCUUCUCGCAUUCGAUGAUAUGUUCUUCAUCCUCCAGAGGUGUGUUGAUGUCCACUCUGUUUUCCACAUUUGCAUGUGAAGUAGAACUCCAUGAUCAUUUGGAACGGAGAAAAGAAAAUGUGAUCGUAUAACAAAUCACCAUACCCAUAAAAAGAAAAAAUGAAUAUUCGACAAAAAAACCAACAAUUUAUACAUCAAACACAUAGUAACAUACUUUUUUGAAGAGUUUGAUCGCCAAUUGAUAAGAGAUGAUCACGAGAUAGCAAGAAAGUGGUUUAAGAAGCAUUGUCAGUCAUCCAAAAACAAUAUAAGAACAUAUAUAUUACCAUAGACACCGACUGAAUUUCACGUGCCAAUCACGGUAAAAUUUUCACAUAUCACACACAAACUUAGCGUGUUUUCCUUCGGAUUGCUUUAGUUCUUCAAGAUCAGCAUCUAAAAGCAGGGAAGCAUACUCUUAUUUUAGAGGUGAACAAAAUUAUUAAAGGUCCAAAAUAUAGAAGCAUUCGACAUAUUUAAGCAGUGAACAUUCACCUUUCAAUUGGACUUGUGUUGUAAUGUUGAUGCCUACAACAUCAAUAUUUGCCCCCCACGUAAACACAACAUCAGCAGCCUCAGGGUCCCCAUAUAUAUGCUUCGUCAGCAAACUAAGCAAAUGAGUAAACAGUCACGUAAACACAACAUCAGCAACCUCAGGGUCCCCAUAUAUAUGCUUUGUCAGCAAACUAAGCAAAUGAGUAAACAGUAACAAAUNN